This 493-nucleotide ribosomal RNA is filed under the name uncultured bacterium. RNAcentral's name for it is "partial 16S ribosomal RNA". It matches the Rfam family "Bacterial small subunit ribosomal RNA", at positions 29 to 508 of the family's 1533-position model. The record is from RNAcentral.
AGUGAACGCUGGCGGUAGGCCUAACACAUGCAAGUCGAACGGCAGCACAGUAAGAGCUUGCUCUUACGGGUGGCGAGUGGCGGACGGGUGAGGAAUACAUCGGAAUCUACUUUUUCGUGGGGGAUAACGUAGGGAAACUUACGCUAAUACCGCAUACGACCUACGGGUGAAAGCAGGGGAUCUUCGGACCUUGCGCGAUUGAAUGAGCCGAUGUCGGAUUAGCUAGUUGGCGGGGUAAAGGCCCACCAAGGCGACGAUCCGUAGCUGGUCUGAGAGGAUGAUCAGCCACACUGGAACUGAGACACGGUCCAGACUCCUACGGGAGGCAGCAGUGGGGAAUAUUGGACAAUGGGCGCAAGCCUAAUCCAGCCAUACCGCGUGGGUGAAGAAGGCCUUCGGGUUGUAAAGCCCUUUUGUUGGGAAAGAAAAGCAGCAGGUUAAUACCCCGCUGUUCUGACGGUACCCAAAGAAUAAGCACCGGCUAACUUCGUGC